GACCUUGUUUGCAUGGGGAAUCUGUUGUUUUAGAAAUGUGUUUCUGCUGCUGUUUCUGCUUCCAAGAAUGUCAGAUAAAGGGGCCUGAACACAACUGGGGACGUGGGAAGGGGGAACCUCUAGUCAUGGGCAGAGGUGGGGCUGUGAUGUAACAGGCAUUGGCUUAGACCAAUGGGAAUGCAGAAACGGAUGGGGCAGAGAUCCUUGGGUGUAAUGACUAAUUAAGCAUGAUCUUUAAGUAGAGGUUGCAGGAAGUUUGGGGAGUUGAUUGGUAGGACUGGGUAGAAAGCAGAAGUAAUAUAGGAGGUGGAGGUAAAGAGAAGAGAAAUUAAGAAGGAAAAGUCUCAUCAAAUGACAUAUUUAAAGAUAAAUUAAACACAGAAAAGAUGAAGUGCCCUGGGGGCCAGAGUCCAGACAAGUAUUUUGGCACCUCCAAGGCCUGAAAGAACACAGAGAGGAAAAGAGAGACCCUGUUAUCCUUCCGCAGGGGUGGCCAUUCAGCCUCUCAGAGAUGGAAGUUAAGAUUUCCUUUGGUGAAACCCGUGUGGAAACACGAUCUGGGCUGUCUUCCUUGUGGACAUAACAUCACCUUUUGGGGAAAUAAGACUUCAUUCUUCAAAUGCUGAGGAAGAAAAGGGGUUCAUAGGGCAGAGCUAAUACUCAGCUUGCAUGAAGCAGUCCAGCUGGCAGAUGUGUACUGUAUCGGCCUGACAACAAGGAGCUUAUGCAGUUUGGCAAGAAUUUUUUCUCUGCCCUUCUCCAAAAAUCAUCUUCAUCACAGAUCACAGAAGCCUCAGAGAUCUCCACUUCCACUGACUGGCAAAGUAUGGUACAAAUUAAACAGCUCUGAUGGGGUACAGAGAACUGCCAACAUUUUCUUUUCUGGUGCUUUUAUCUUCAAAAGGGCAAAACUGGUCCUAACCAUAUGUAUUUUAUACAUCUUUUAUGUAUCUGUACAAGAAUAGUUAAUCCAAACUAAGCAAUAUAACAUUUUUCCCACCACAAAUUUGGUAAUAUGUACAAAGAUUGCAGCUGCCCAUGGGUCUGUUUUGGUUUGCAAGCUGUCUUGAUGGACAAGGGUCUAUUUUUAAGCUAACACUUUAUUUUCAUCUGUCAAUGCAGUUUUAACCUUGAAAUAAUACUUAUAAAAUGGAA
This 1155-nucleotide long non-coding RNA is filed under the name Macaca mulatta (Rhesus monkey). Its description in RNAcentral is "lncRNA (ENSMMUG00000052176.1)". Lineage: Eukaryota; Metazoa; Chordata; Mammalia; Primates; Cercopithecidae. The record is from RNAcentral.